RNAcentral lists this long non-coding RNA (396 nucleotides) under Salvia miltiorrhiza (redroot sage). RNAcentral's name for it is "long non-coding RNA (SMIL_LNC002841)". Lineage: Eukaryota; Viridiplantae; Streptophyta; Magnoliopsida; Lamiales; Lamiaceae. The record is from RNAcentral.
UGCAACAAAUGAACAUUAUUCAUACAACUAAAAUAGAUUAUUCAUGCACAAUUACCUCUAGUUACUCGAGGACUAUUCUCCACAAAAUCAGAUGUCUCAGUCACACCUUUCCCCUGUACUUUGUUCUUUCGCUUCCCUACAAAAGAAAAAAAAAAUAAUACCACUGUUAAAAAAUGAGAAAAACUUCAGAUCUCACCACAACAUGUACAAUUUCACUCAAAAGGAUACUAAAAAUAGCAAAUACUAUACUAUGCAGAACAAUUCGCACAAAAUCACGAAAAAAAAAAUGAUAACCUCUGUUUGCAGUACAAUCUCACCGGGUGGAUUUGAUUUAGUAUAAGCCAUGGAAAUCGAUGUUCAAAAGCCUUCGUUUGUGAACCGACUGACAAUUUCGCC